Molecule: transfer RNA, 69 nt
Filed under: Marmota monax (woodchuck)
Lineage: Eukaryota; Metazoa; Chordata; Mammalia; Rodentia; Sciuridae
Description: tRNA.Ala
Source: RNAcentral
GGAGAUGUAGCUUAGUGGUAGAGCUCUUGCCGAGCAUUUGCAAGUCCCUGGGUUCCAUCCUCAGCACCA